CGAACGCUUUGUGGUUCACUGAUUUGAAGAGCUUGCUCAGAUAUGACGAUGGACAUUGCAAAGAGUGGCGAACGGGUGAGUAACACGUGGGAAACCUACCUCUUAGCAGGGGAUAACAUUUGGAAACAGAUGCUAAUACCGUAUAACAAUGACAACCGCAUGGUUGUUAUUUAAAAGAUGGUUCUGCUAUCACUAAGAGAUGGUCCCGCGGUGCAUUAGCUAGUUGGUAAGGUAAUGGCUUACCAAGGCGAUGAUGCAUAGCCGAGUUGAGAGACUGAUCGGCCACAAUGGGACUGAGACACGGCCCAUACUCCUACGGGAGGCAGCAGUAGGGAAUCUUCCACAAUGGGCGAAAGCCUGAUGGAGCAACGCCGCGUGUGUGAUGAAGGGUUUCGGCUCGUAAAACACUGUUGUAAGAGAAGAAUGACAUUGAGAGUAACUGUUCAAUGUGUGACGGUAUCUUACCAGAAAGGAACGGCUAAAUACGUGCCAGCAGCCGCGGUAAUACGUAUGUUCCAAGCGUUAUCCGGAUUUAUUGGGCGUAAAGCGAGCGCAGACGGUUAUUUAAGUCUGAAGUGAAAGCCCUCAGCUCAACUGAGGAAUUGCUUUGGAAACUGGAUGACUUGAGUGCAGUAGAGGAAAGUGGAACUCCAUGUGUAGCGGUGAAAUGCGUAGAUAUAUGGAAGAACACCAGUGGCGAAGGCGGCUUUCUGGACUGUAACUGACGUUGAGGCUCGAAAGUGUGGGUAGCAAACAGGAUUAGAUACCCUGGUAGUCCACACCGUAAACGAUGAGUGCUAGGUGUUUGAGGGUUUCCGCCCUUAAGUGCCGCAGCUAACGCAUUAAGCACUCCGCCUGGGGAGUACGACCGCAAGGUUGAAACUCAAAGGAAUUGACGGGGACCCGCACAAGCGGUGGAGCAUGUGGUUUAAUUCGAAGCAACGCGAAGAACCUUACCAGGUCUUGACAUCCCUUGACAACUCCAGAGAUGGAGCGUUCCCUUCGGGGACAAGGUGACAGGUGGUGCAUGGUUGUCGUCAGCUCGUGUCGUGAGAUGUUGGGUUAAGUCCCGCAACGAGCGCAACCCUUAUUACUAGUUGCCAGCAUUCAGUUGGGCACUCUAGUGAGACUGCCGGUGACAAACCGGAGGAAGGUGGGGAUGACGUCAAAUCAUCAUGCCCCUUAUGACCUGGGCUACACACGUGCUACAAUGGCGUAUACAACGAGUUGCCAACCCGCGAGGGUGAGCUAAUCUCUUAAAGUACGUCUCAGUUCGGAUUGUAGGCUGCAACUCGCCUACAUGAAGUCGGAAUCGCUAGUAAUCGCGGAUCAGCACGCCGCGGUGAAUACGUUCCCGGGUCUUGUACACACCGCCCGUCACACCAUGAGAGU
RNAcentral lists this ribosomal RNA (1392 nucleotides) under Weissella confusa. RNAcentral's name for it is "bacterial SSU rRNA". It matches the Rfam family "Bacterial small subunit ribosomal RNA", at positions 63 to 1411 of the family's 1533-position model. Lineage: Bacteria; Bacillati; Bacillota; Bacilli; Lactobacillales; Lactobacillaceae. The record is from RNAcentral.